RNAcentral lists this long non-coding RNA (614 nucleotides) under Homo sapiens (human). RNAcentral's name for it is "HSALNT0154195". The record is from RNAcentral. Lineage: Eukaryota; Metazoa; Chordata; Mammalia; Primates; Hominidae.
AUGCUUAAUGAGCCCCUCUUGGAUGCUACUCUUUCUUGAGUCAGCCAAGGAGAGAAGUCUGGCUCCAAACAAUUCGGUCUGCAAAGAGAUGGAUGAGCCAUUUCUUCAGCUAUAUGUAGAUCACCUGAAAUUGAAACCUGAGUGUUCUGUCUCUUAAUUUGCGGGUCACAGAAUCCCACUAAGAAUUGGAAGGACCUUAGCAGUCAUUGCAUGGUGCUCCUCAGUAAUACACAAAUUCUAUAAUAACUGUUCAAAUACCUCUGGGGACUUGUCAGGCAAGUGUGUUGCUCCCUUCCAGAAAUAUAAGGAAGCAAAGUUCUCUUUCUAGUCAAGCCAAAUACAGAAGAUGCCCCAUUGGAAUCUGAAUCUUGCUAUUUGACAGUGAUGAUGCUGAUGAACCGGUACUCCAAGCUAAACCAGUAUUUGUACUGCAGAUACUACUUGCAUGUAUUUCUCAAGCUAUAAUUUGCUUCUUAGGCUGCACUCCGAAAAACUAAUUUCUGCCUGCAAAAAGAAACCUAAGUAUCUUCACCCCCAACUUCUGAUAUUGAUACACUGAUUUUUAAGCUCACUAUGUGGCAUUUAAGUCUGUUACAGACUUAUCUUUCCAGCCU